UCAAACUUGGUCAUUUAGAGGAAGUAAAAGUCGUAACAAGGUUUCCGUAGGUGAACCUGCGGAAGGAUCAUUAGAAAAUAACCGGCCUAGCCGGUAAUAAAUUCUAUCUACCUUGUGUGCAAACAAUGAAAAAAAGAGAGAAUUGGGUACUUUUGUAUCCAACCUCUCUAAAGUUUUCUAUAAACUCCAUCAAAUUUUGAAAUGAAAACUAUUUUUUAAUAAAAAUAUUAUACAACUUUCAACAACGGAUCUCUUGGCUCUCGCAUCGAUGAAGAACGCAGC
RNAcentral lists this unclassified non-coding RNA (282 nucleotides) under uncultured fungus. RNAcentral describes it as "partial contains small subunit ribosomal RNA, internal transcribed spacer 1, and 5.8S ribosomal RNA". The stretch from base 1 to 73 matches the Rfam family "Eukaryotic small subunit ribosomal RNA", at positions 1759 to 1831 of the family's 1831-position model. The record is from RNAcentral. Lineage: Eukaryota; Fungi.